This 416-nucleotide ribosomal RNA is filed under the name Membracioides sp. UCR ENT 00119033. Its description in RNAcentral is "partial large subunit ribosomal RNA". Lineage: Eukaryota; Metazoa; Arthropoda; Insecta; Hemiptera; Schizopteridae. The record is from RNAcentral.
GUCUUUUUGAUAUUUAUUUAAGGUCAGGUCUGCCCAAUGAUUUAUAUUUAAUGGCUGCAGUAUUUUAACUGUACGAAGGUAGCAUAAUCAUUUGUUUAAUAAUUUUGGACUAGUAUGAAUGGCUUGAUAAGAGUUAAUCUUUCUUAUUUAUAUAAAUAAGAAAUUAUUUUUUUAGUUAAAAAACUGAAAUUUUUUUAUAGGACGAGAAGACCCUAUAGAACUUAUAUAAAUUUAUAUAUAAAUUUAUAUAUAAAUUUAUUUAAUUGGGGUGAUUUUAAUUUUUAAUUAACAAUUUUUUUAUUUUAUCAUUUAUUUUUGAAUUUUAUGAUCCAAUUUUUUGAUUAUAAGAUUAAGUUACCUUAGGGAUAACAGCGUAAUUUAAUUGGAGAGUUCAUAUCGAUAAUUUAAGUUUGCGA